UACGUAGGGUGCAAGCGUUGUCCGGAAUUAUUGGGCGUAAAGAGCUCGUAGGCGGUUUGUCGCGUCUGCCGUGAAAACCCGAGGCUCAACCUCGGGCCUGCAGUGGGUACGGGCAGACUAGAGUGCGGUAGGGGAGAGUGGAAUUCUUGGUGUAGCGGUGAAAUGCGCAGAUAUCAGGAAGAACACCAAUGGCGAAAGCAGCUCUCUGGGACGGUACUGACGCUGAGACGCGAAAGCGUGGGGAGCGAACAGG
This 253-nucleotide ribosomal RNA is filed under the name uncultured bacterium. RNAcentral's name for it is "partial 16S ribosomal RNA". It matches the Rfam family "Bacterial small subunit ribosomal RNA", at positions 524 to 776 of the family's 1533-position model. The record is from RNAcentral.